CGAAAUCGGUAGACGCUACGGACUUAAAAUCCGUCGACUUUAUAAAUCGGGA
RNAcentral lists this transfer RNA (52 nucleotides) under Turnera serrata var. brevifolia. RNAcentral's name for it is "partial tRNA-Leu". The record is from RNAcentral. Lineage: Eukaryota; Viridiplantae; Streptophyta; Magnoliopsida; Malpighiales; Passifloraceae.